ACUCCUACGGGAGGCAGCAGUGGGGAAUAUUGCACAAUGGGCGCAAGCCUGAUGCAGCCAUGCCGCGUGUAUGAAGAAGGCCUUCGGGUUGUAAAGUACUUUCAGCGAGGAGGAAGGUGUUGUGGUUAAUAACCGCAGCAAUUGACGUUACUCGCAGAAGAAGCACCGGCUAACUCCGUGCCAGCAGCCGCGGUAAU
This 197-nucleotide ribosomal RNA is filed under the name uncultured bacterium. RNAcentral's name for it is "partial 16S ribosomal RNA". It matches the Rfam family "Bacterial small subunit ribosomal RNA", at positions 335 to 524 of the family's 1533-position model. The record is from RNAcentral.